Phyllopteryx taeniolatus (common seadragon) is the source of this 582-nucleotide long non-coding RNA. RefSeq lists it as uncharacterized. The record is from RefSeq and is a predicted model, not a curated record. Lineage: Eukaryota; Metazoa; Chordata; Actinopteri; Syngnathiformes; Syngnathidae. The transcript has 3 exons.
CUGCCGUUGCGGAACAUGAGUAUGAAAAUGACCGCUCUGAAAGACUAUGACAGAGCAAAGGCAGGAGGCUGGAGGUCGCUUGGAAAAGAAGAAAAACAAACAAACAAUUUCAUCUUAACAUCCUAAAUACAGCUUUACAGGGUCUCGGCGAACAGCAACCAAGGCAGACUUCAUCUUGGACUGCUUUUACACUCACAAUCCCACUACUGAGUUGGAACUGAAGCCAAGAUGGCUGCACGCAAGUCUGACCUCAGAAGGGAAAAUUCAACGAGCUCCAGCGCAAAAUAAGGUGAAAGCUCAAGAUGACAGCUGAGGAGAGACAAUCGACAAGCUAACAAACGUGCUUGCGACACAGAACCAUGCACUCUUUGGAUUUGGAUUUCCAGCAGAGACAUCAUGAAUCCAUCAGCAUUGAUGCGAGACGUUAAUUCUUAAUAAGAUCAUCGUUUUGCUGUUGGGGGUACUGUGACAUAUUUAUGAAUGCACCAGAGCCCAACGUUGAGCUACAUUAUGAACUAUCAGCUGCAUUUACUCCCUUCCGUUUACUCAAGUAACUUCUUGGAUAAAUUGUACUUGUCAAAG